RNAcentral lists this long non-coding RNA (2336 nucleotides) under Vigna radiata. RNAcentral describes it as "long non-coding RNA (VRAD_LNC000482)". The record is from RNAcentral. Lineage: Eukaryota; Viridiplantae; Streptophyta; Magnoliopsida; Fabales; Fabaceae.
CCACAGUUAUUCUUAUCAGUGCUAAACUAAGCAUGAGUCGGAAUCCUACGAGCGAGACAUCCAUCCGUUUCUACUUCUCGAAAGAGGAAAAGGUAGAACUCGAAUCUCAGUCUCUCCAACUGCCUCUCAUGGACGAAGAGAACCAUGUCUUUCACCGUCUCUUAAAGACGAAGAGAUCUACCUUUCUACCUUCUCGCAAGAAGAAAGGUACCAAUGAGGAUUUAAAGAAGUAUAAUUAGAAGACAUACUCCAUAUCAUAACCACCAUUACACUGCAGGGGUUCAACAGCGUGACCCGCUCACUAAGUUCAACAAUGAUCACAUAAAACCAUUACCGUACUCUCGUAACCCAUACAAAACAUAUCUCAUGUUAUGACAUUCUCAAGUCAAUAAAUACCACUAUAGUACAAAGUCAACCAACACACAUCAAUAAGUUAGCCAAGUACUAACCACAUCCCCCCUAUUUUCAAUAUACACAUAUCAAAAGAUGAGAAACCCAUCUACUUUUCCAAAGUGGAACCCAUGUGGGUCCACCAAUUUUCUUCACGUAACAUACACCAUGGCCCCACACUCUUCAAACAUUUAAUGCAUGGUAUGUUCUUCUCGUAUUAAAACUAACAUCCCAUGAGUAUCGUGUAUAAGGAAAACAUAAUGUGAAACUUUGUUCCAUGACUUACAUCACAUGAAACCCUUAUGGCUUCUUCCUAGUGCCCUGGACAUCACAUACCAGACUAGCUUUAGGAGAGAAAACAUGUGCCCCUAUCUCAUAAACAAGGAAACAACAACCCACAUACCCAAAUGACUUAUACAUACCCUACAUUCCCCAUACGAAACUCUUUACCCACGUGUAAUGAUAAAGAACCAAUCUCCAUACAAGCAUGUAUUCAUCUCUCUAAAAUGAUUUGGCUUGGAAAAGAACAACACUACGUGCAUGAUGGUUCCCUUCAGUCCUCAUAGUCAUCACCACAACAUAACAUCACCAAAUGACUUACAACAUCAAACAAAAACUCAAUUCACUAGCCAUACACCUCUUUUGCACACCAUCACAAACACCAUAAACAGACAACAUGGUUACGUAGAAACACAUUAUUCAUGGUGGCUACAUGAUGGUACUCGAACAAGUUCAUGCAUCAAUUUAAACUCCUACGUUCUCUCGGUUGCUCCAAAAAACCAUGUAACCCAUUUAAGAUCCCAAACUACCCAUGACCAUAACCUAAUCCUCAUAUAUCACGGUUUUCAUUGAUAUUCAUUAAACAGCAUGUUCCCUCAAACUAAUACCUACACCCUAUAUACCCACGUUCACUUACACUCCCGACUUUCUCAUUUGCACCAGAACCCGUGUGUCCCUUUACUCUAAACAGCCCAAUCUGAUAUUUGACCAAUGUUUUCCCGUUCCCAUACUUUAGUGCCUAACCACCACAACGAAACUACCAUAGCCUACUAUCACCACUAAACGAAAACACCCUCAUCCCACUAUAACUCAGUCUUGGGAACACGUUAAUUUCCCCCCUCCUUACUGCUGCAUGAAAAACACAUUGCUAAACCAUACAAAAUCCCAGAACCUGUGCUGAACUCCCAUCAAGCCACAAACUCCUGCCCGUAACGUUAUGAGCGAACCUAACCUCAAACAUACAUGGCAUCUUCUACAACAUCCUAGAACCAAACACAACCCUUAAACGUAACCAAGGCAUUCAAGCCCUUGAACCACACUACCCCUGAAUUGGAAUGCGCUCAUCAUGCGUAGAUUACACUGCCAGGGUCACCCACAGCUUGCACAGAAUGGCAAGAUCAAGAGCAUAUAUUCCAUAACAAAUCACAAACAUAAAGAGUUAGGUCCCCUUACCUCGAUGGAUCUAGGUUUCCCUUUGGUCCUACAUUUUUUGCCUCAAGGUUUCUUUCCCUUUCGCCACACUGCAGCUUAGCAAAACUCAGAUCUUCUUCGUAACCACUCACGGCUUUCUCUCUAUCUGCUCUUGCUUUCUCUUUCCCCUCCUUACAGUUCUCUCUUCUCUCAUUUUAACCUAAUCCUCCCCAAAGAUAAACCCCUCUUGACUUCUCUUUCCCUUCCGUACAGUUCUCUCUUCUAUCGUUUUAACCUAAUCCUCCCCAAAGAUAAACCCCUUGCUCCUUUAUGGCCAUUCAGUUUCCUAAACUUUCUUGGAGAUGAAUCUGGUGCCUUUGCCCAUUCUGUUCACCAAAAAUAAAACAUCCACCUUUGCCCAUUCAGGAAUCAAGUCCCUGCACCAGACUACACAUACGCACUUAACCACUACACUAGUCACAUUUCAUUGAUUAAUAUGCACAACAAUAGCCAUAUAAAAGCAUAUAAAACGCCCU